UACGUAGGUGGCAAGCGUUGUCCGGAAUUACUGGGUGUAAAGCGCGUGUAGGCGGCAGACCAAGUCGGCGGUGAAAGCGCCCGGCUCAACUGGGCGAGGUCCGUGGAAACUGGUCAGCUGGAGGACGGUAGAGGCGAGUGGAAUUCCCGGUGUAGUGGUGAAAUGCGUAGAGCCCGAUCAGAACACCGGUGGCGAAGGCGGGUUGCUGGAGCCGGGCCGACGCUGAGACGCGAAAGCGCGGGGAGCGAACGGG
RNAcentral lists this ribosomal RNA (253 nucleotides) under uncultured bacterium. RNAcentral's name for it is "partial 16S ribosomal RNA". It matches the Rfam family "Bacterial small subunit ribosomal RNA", at positions 524 to 776 of the family's 1533-position model. The record is from RNAcentral.